GAUCGGUUAGUCAAGCGGCCAAGACACCACCCUUUCACGGUGGUAACACGAGUUCAAAUCUCGUACCGAUCA
RNAcentral lists this transfer RNA (72 nucleotides) under Caudoviricetes sp. Its description in RNAcentral is "tRNA-Glu". It matches the Rfam family "tRNA". Rfam says of the family: Transfer RNA (tRNA) molecules are approximately 80 nucleotides in length. Their secondary structure includes four short double-helical elements and three loops (D, anti-codon, and T loops). Lineage: Duplodnaviria; Heunggongvirae; Uroviricota; Caudoviricetes. The record is from RNAcentral.